CAACUUUCUCCAUAUGGGUGACA
Molecule: non-coding RNA, 23 nt
Filed under: Arabidopsis thaliana (thale cress)
Lineage: Eukaryota; Viridiplantae; Streptophyta; Magnoliopsida; Brassicales; Brassicaceae
Source: RNAcentral